UUGACCUCAAAUCAGGUAGGACUACCCGCUGAACUUAAGCAUAUCAAUAAGCGGAGGAAAAGAAACUAACAAGGAUUCCCCUAGUAACUGCGAGUGAAGCGGGAAGAGCUCAAAUUUGAAAUCUGGCGGUUCCUUGGGCCGUCCGAGUUGUAAUCUAGAGAAGUGUUACCUGUGCUGGACCGUGUACAAGUCUCCUGGAAUGGAGCAUCACAGAGGGUGAGAAUCCCGUCUUUGACAUGGACUGCCUGUGCGACAUGGUGCGCUCUCGAAGAGUCGAGUUGUUUGGGAAUGCAGCUCAAAAUGGGUGGUAAAUGCCAUCUAAAGCUAAAUAUUGGCGAGAGACCGAUAGCGAACAAGUACCGUGAGGGAAAGAUGAAAAGAACUUUGGAAAGAGAGUUAAACAGUACGUGAAAUUGCUGAAAGGGAAACGCUUGAAGUCAGUCACGUCGGCUGGAAAUCAGUCUUGCUUCUGCUUGAUGUACUUUCUGGCUCGACGGGUCAGCAUCAGUUUUGACCGCCGGAUAAAGUCAUUGGGAAUGUGGCAUCUUAGGAUGUGUUAUAGCCCGUUGUCGCAUACGGUGGUCGGGAUUGAGGAACUCAGCACGCCGCGAGGCCGGGUCUUUUGACCACGUUCGUGCUUAGGAUGCUGGCAUAAUGGCUUUAAUCGACCCGUC
This 674-nucleotide ribosomal RNA is filed under the name Inocybe nitidiuscula. Its description in RNAcentral is "eukaryotic LSU rRNA". It matches the Rfam family "Eukaryotic large subunit ribosomal RNA", at positions 1 to 653 of the family's 3401-position model. RNAcentral also lists the same sequence under 1 other name. The record is from RNAcentral. Lineage: Eukaryota; Fungi; Basidiomycota; Agaricomycetes; Agaricales; Inocybaceae.